CGGACGGGUGAGUAACGCGUGGGUAACCCACCCUGUACACACGGAUAACAUACCGAAAGGUAUGCUAAUACGGGAUGAUAUAUUUGAGAGGCAUCUCUUGAAUAUCAAAGGUGAGCCAGUACAGGAUGGACCCGCGUCUGAUUAGCUAGUUGGUAAGGUAACGGCUUACCAAGGCGACGAUCAGUAGCCGACCUGAGAGGGUGAUCGGCCACAUUGGAACUGAGACACGGUCCAA
This 235-nucleotide ribosomal RNA is filed under the name uncultured bacterium. Its description in RNAcentral is "partial 16S ribosomal RNA". It matches the Rfam family "Bacterial small subunit ribosomal RNA", at positions 99 to 334 of the family's 1533-position model. The record is from RNAcentral.